GUGUGUCUGCAGCUUGGUCCAUUGGGUAUCUUUACACCGUGGAACUUUAUCCAACUGUUGUCAGGAGCAUCGCCAGUGGGACUGCCUCUAUGGCCGCCAGAAUAGGAGGUGUGACUGCUCCACAAUUUGGGCUCUUGGGCACCAUAUCCGGACAACUACCCUUCACAAUUUUUGGAACUUUUGCCCUGGCUGCUGCUUUUCUUGGU
Long non-coding RNA from Lingula anatina, 206 nucleotides. The record is from RefSeq and is a predicted model, not a curated record. Lineage: Eukaryota; Metazoa; Brachiopoda; Lingulata; Lingulida; Lingulidae.